This 95-nucleotide transfer RNA is filed under the name Rhodotorula toruloides. Its description in RNAcentral is "tRNA-Pro". It matches the Rfam family "tRNA". From Rfam's summary of the family: Transfer RNA (tRNA) molecules are approximately 80 nucleotides in length. Their secondary structure includes four short double-helical elements and three loops (D, anti-codon, and T loops). Lineage: Eukaryota; Fungi; Basidiomycota; Microbotryomycetes; Sporidiobolales; Sporidiobolaceae. The record is from RNAcentral.
GCCCGUUUGGUCUAGAGGUAUGAUACCGCCUUCGGGCUUGUUAGUAACAGAGCAGUGAAUGGCGGUGGCCGUCGGUUCGAAUCCGGCAACGGGCC